AAAACUUUUCUUAAUAGAAAAAAAAGUCUCAAUUUCAUCUUCCAAAAAACAACAAAAAGUUCCUCAAUUUCAUCUUCCAAAAAAAUCAAAAUGCUUUUGCCACAACCAACCAGCAUGCGCCACAUGGCCAUGCUGGUUGGCCGCCAUUCUCCCGUAGCUUAAUGUGUCUUCCAAAAGAAAUCAAAAUGUUUUUUGCCACGGCCAACCAGCAUGCGCCACAUGGCCAUGCUGAUUGGCCGCCAUUCUCCGUAGCUUAAUGUGUUUGAUGAUCAAUCACUCCAACUGGUUUUAUAUAUGCUACAGUACGACUAUUACAAGAACCAAAUGCAUCCUCUAAAAUACUACUCAGAUUAAUAAAACUGGAAAUGAAUGAAUGUAAUUAAGGCUUCCAUAUCUUCAUCAUACAAUCUUCGGCAUAGGUGGCAACCAAGUUCCUGUGAGGGUGGUGAGUAAUGCCAAUCACAUCCUUAAGGCUUCCAUAUCUUCAUCAUACAAUCUUCGGCAUAGGUGGCAACCAAGUUCCUGUGAGGGUGGUGAGUAAUGCCAAUCACAUCCUUGUCAUGGACCUGAAACGGUGUCAAGGUGUU
This 587-nucleotide long non-coding RNA is filed under the name Triticum aestivum (bread wheat). RNAcentral's name for it is "long non-coding RNA (TAES_LNC027266)". The record is from RNAcentral. Lineage: Eukaryota; Viridiplantae; Streptophyta; Magnoliopsida; Poales; Poaceae.